GUGCCAGCCGCCGCGGUAAUACCGGCAGCCCAAGUGAUGGCCGAUCUUAUUGGGCCUAAAGCGUCCGUAGCUGGCUGCGCAAGUCCGUCGGGAAAUCCACUCGCCCAACGAGUGGGCGUCCAGCGGAAACUGUCCGGCUUGGGGCCGAACGACCCGAGGGGUACGUCCGGGGUAGGAGUGAAAUCCCAUAAUCCCGCACGGACCACCGAUGGCGAAAGCACUUCGAGAAAACGGAUCCGACAGUGAGGGACGAAAGCCAGGGUCUCCAACCGGAUUAGAAACCCCGGUAGUCC
This 293-nucleotide ribosomal RNA is filed under the name uncultured bacterium. Its description in RNAcentral is "partial 16S ribosomal RNA". It matches the Rfam family "Archaeal small subunit ribosomal RNA", at positions 455 to 747 of the family's 1478-position model. The record is from RNAcentral.